Molecule: long non-coding RNA, 1004 nt
Filed under: Chlamydomonas reinhardtii
Lineage: Eukaryota; Viridiplantae; Chlorophyta; Chlorophyceae; Chlamydomonadales; Chlamydomonadaceae
Description: long non-coding RNA (CREI_LNC000582)
Source: RNAcentral
AGGGGUGACAUGCGGCAAACACCCAGCAAGCCAACUGACAGGCCUUCGUCGCUAUUAGCCUAAAACAACAAGGUUAGCAAGCAUUUAGCAUCGCAGAGGAAGAAGCCCACUAAAGUCUGCGCCACUAAAUGGCUAAAGUCCGCACUGGAAAGAGGCCCAUUGCUUUCGCCAGCCGUUGGCGCGUUUCUAGCGCGCAGGGAGCCUUCUGCACGCACUUUGCAUGCUUGAUGACUAGGAAUGUAGCUUGACCGCGUGUCAGGGGGCGAACCCGAUGAGUGUCUUCAAUUCAACGCCCGUCAACGCCUAACAAUUGAUGGUUCGCCUGCCAGGCCCUGUGUGGCCGGCCCCUGGUCGCUCUGCCCCCUUGCUUGGUGGUCUCGCCGCUUGAUCGUGUGGGUGUGUCUGGGUGGUUGUGGUCCCUCGGCCUUGUCUUUCGCGCGUGCGGUGUGGACUGUGGGGCUCUGCCCAAUGUCUAGGCUAGUACUGUGCCUGUGGCACGUGAAGUGGAGGCUUUGCCUUGUGUUGGGCCUUCGGGCUUGGAUCAGACAUGGCGUGGCGUGCGUGCGUCUCCGUGGCGUGCGAAAUGAGUGGUGCCUUUGUUUGAUUGGGCGGUCGGCGGACCACUGGCCUGUCCGUGCCCCGUCUUGCGGGAGUGUCACCACCAAAAGACCGAAAAGAAUUGCAAUUUUGCUGUACGGUUUGGCUUUGGCGGGUCACGCACCCGGGUGCCUGGCUUGGCUUCGACUCACAGUGCGUGGAGUCGCUGGACUGAGGGCCUGAGGGUGUGCAGCCAACCUGGUGGUGGUUUCCGGUCACAGGAUGGAUCCCCGUGGCUUAUGUCAGUCCAGGGCACUCAACGCCCCUUCCACGCUUGCGGGGUCAGGCUGUCUGUAACAUCGCAAUCAUAAAGGCACAGAGAAGAAGUGGAUGCAAGUAAAAGAGCAACGCGCACGUUGCAGGCGCAAUCCCGGUCGUACGCCAUGACAGGCACAAAGGGCAUGGAG